GUUUAAAGCCCCCUUUCCCCC
This 21-nucleotide transfer RNA is filed under the name Thottea siliquosa. RNAcentral's name for it is "partial tRNA-Leu". The record is from RNAcentral. Lineage: Eukaryota; Viridiplantae; Streptophyta; Magnoliopsida; Piperales; Aristolochiaceae.